AUUUUGUGCUCAUGCAUCUCUUAUUCCCAAACUGUACAGCGCUUGCUACUACUACAAGCAAAUUCGAACCUCCACUCCAGUCCCGCCAACUCCAGGUUCUGCUGCUGCUGCUUCACCUUCCAUUGGACCCGCCUCGCGACAUCAGCAGCUCAUCGCCUCGCACUUCACCGGAAUCGGCCGGUCGAACCCCCCUCGGGACAGCAGGGUGUCGCGGCAGAACACGAACGGUUGGCUCAAUGGUGUCGCUGCAGCCACUGCCGUUCUAGGCAUUGGAAUCGCUUCCGGCUUCGUGGUGACCACAACGUUGCCACCGUCUUUUCGAGUGGCAUUCUCUUGCACUGUUGCCACUUCUUCUUCUUGCUCUGCAAUGGCAGCCGCCGCGUCCUUGGCCCUCUGCCUCUCCGCGUCCAGCACCGCCGACAUGAUGCACGAGUAGCCCUUCUGCAGCAUCCGGUACAGGAACAGCGCCGACAUGCGCGCCUGGUCGCGCACGGCCUCCAGGUCGCGGUGUUCGUCCACGAGCUCAAGCCUCUCCGCGAACGACGCCGACCGCUCGGGCUUCAGCUUCAGCGUCAGCACCAGGUGCGCGCGCUCCAGCUCCGACCGCGUGCACCCGCGCCGCACCCCGAGGAGGGCGUAGUAGUCGACGCCGCACCCCUCGCCGGCGGCGACGCGGCCGCGGAGCAGCUGGAUGCGCGCCGUGAGCGUGCGGUGCGCGCCGGCGAUCUCCCCGAACUGGACGCCGCCCUGCGGCCGCAGCUUGCCGCCCCGGAGCGCGGCGUCGUACAGGAGCUUGAGGUGGUCCAGGUCCCGGAGGCAGUCCGGGAGCGCCCCGACCGACUCCAGCAGGUCGGCGCGCGCUCGCAGCGCCGGGAUGGAGGCCGGGUCCAGCGCCAGCGCGCGGUUGCAGUCCGCGAUGGCGUCCGCGGGGCGCCCCGCCGACCGGAACGCGGCGGCGCGGCCCACCAGGCAGGCCGUGGCGAAGGGGUGCGGCAGCACGCUGCGGCGCGUGUCCAGCACCUUGUUGAAAUGCCGCACUGCCUCGCCGGGGAGCCCGGCGUCCAGCGCCGCCACCGCCGCCGCGCGCCGCCGGAGGAGGAGCUUCACGUGCGCGAGCAGCUGCGACACGGACUCCGCCUCGGACGCUGCGGCGCUGUUGGCCGUCAGCGGGUUCGACGGCGAGAAGCUGUCCUCCGACCAGCACACGCUCUCGCGCCGGAACGCCGCGGUGGCGAGGCGGCGGGCGGUUUGGAGGAGCACCACCGCGUCUUCCAUCAGGCCGAGGUGGAAGCAGGCUCUGCCCAGGACCAGGUACCUCCACUGCGCCUCGGUGCUCGAGCUCCUGCAGAAGCUGGCGACGAGGCGGCGCUUGAGGUCGGACACGUGGAGGCAGCAGAGGAAGCGGGCGGCGCCGGCGCAGGCGUCGGAACGGUCGCGGUCCCCGGAGGCAGACGAGCAGGACGAGGAUGACGAGGCGCAGGUGGCGUCAUCGUCGCCCGAGCACGACCUGGCGUAACUGGGGAUGUAGUCGCGGAGCAUGUCGGCGACGUCGCGGUAGCGCCUGAGCGCGAGGAGCGCGCGCGCCCGGAGCUCCAGCGCCGCCUCGGCCCGCGGCGACAUCUCCAGGGCGGCCGUGACCAGGCCGAGCGCCGCCGCCGCCGCCGCCGCGUCGUCGGUGUCCUGCGCGGCCGCAGCGAGAGCCGCCCGCGCCUCGCUGAGGUACGUGUCGAACACCUGUCGCACAUGGACGCAUCGCCAUCAGAUUCCAUCCAACCACCAAACCGUACGAGGAGGAAAAGGACAACGAAAUAAAUCAAGCCGCGUCCUCGAACAAGUCAAACAGAAAGAAUGCAUCACACACACGGCACGGAAGAGCCAUCUGGAGACGAAAGGCGAGAGCGCCUGGUGGAUGGAAACAGCAAGAGUGGCACCUCGGGCUCUCCUCUCGCUCUCGGGAUUGCAAAGGCGAAAUCGGGGAGAGCAAUGCAAUACAAUGCAGGCACGAACCUUGUUGUUGCCUCUCAGCCAGUUAAUGCGUUUCUUGGCCGGAGCGGAGGAAGGGGACGGCGGCGCCAUUGCGUCCCGCCAGGCAUCAACAGCGGAUCAAAAAAAAGGGAAGAAGGGGGAGUUCUCCCCUCCGUCUGUGUCGUCUGGAGUAGAUUGGGCUGAGGGAUGAGUGUUUUUUUGUUGUUGUUGCUUUGAGCAGGCAGAGGCAGGUGUGCUGCUGCUGCAGUAUACUAACCCUAAUUCUUAAUAAAGGGAAAAAAAUAGAAGUGCAUUGCAUGGUAUUCACAUGUGGAGGGUAGUGUGAGCAUGGUCUUUCCAGCAGAGCAGAGCAGGAGCAGGAGCAGGAGCAUUAUCCAGCCUAAAGC
Molecule: unclassified non-coding RNA, 2372 nt
Filed under: Zea mays
Lineage: Eukaryota; Viridiplantae; Streptophyta; Magnoliopsida; Poales; Poaceae
Description: misc RNA Zm00001eb331380
Source: RNAcentral